This 623-nucleotide ribosomal RNA is filed under the name Actinomycetales bacterium QL073. RNAcentral describes it as "bacterial SSU rRNA". It matches the Rfam family "Bacterial small subunit ribosomal RNA", at positions 126 to 749 of the family's 1533-position model. Lineage: Bacteria; Bacillati; Actinomycetota; Actinomycetes; Actinomycetales. The record is from RNAcentral.
CUGCCCCUGACUCCGGGAUAAGCGGUGGAAACGCCGUCUAAUACCGGAUACGACCUUUCAGCUCAUGCUGGAGGGUGGAAAGUUUUAUCGGUCAGGGAUGGGCUCGCGGCCUAUCAGCUUGUUGGUGGGGUAAAGGCCUACCAAGGCGAUUACGGGUAGCCGGCCUGAGAGGGCGACCGGCCACACUGGGACUGAGACACGGCCCAGACUCCUGCGGGAGGCAGCAGUGGGGAAUAUUGCACAAUGGGCGAAAGCCUGAUGCAGCGACGCCGCGUGGGGGAUGACGGCCUUCGGGUUGUAAACCUCUUUUACCACCAACGCAGGCUCCACGUUCUCGUGGGGUUGACGGUAGGUGGGGAAUAAGGACCGGCUAACUACGUGCCAGCAGCCGCGGUAAUACGUAGGGUCCGAGCGUUGUCCGGAAUUAUUGGGCGUAAAGAGCUCGUAGGCGGCGUGUCACGUCUGCUGUGAAAGACCGGGGCUUAACUCCGGUUCUGCAGUGGAUACGGGCAUGCUAGAGGUAGGUAGGGGAGACUGGAAUUCCUGGUGUAGCGGUGAAAUGCGCAGAUAUCAGGAGGAACACCGGUGGCGAAGGCGGGUCUCUGGGCCUUACCUGACGCUGA